Molecule: long non-coding RNA, 1844 nt
Organism: Mus musculus (house mouse)
Lineage: Eukaryota; Metazoa; Chordata; Mammalia; Rodentia; Muridae
Product: predicted gene, 40345
Exons: 2
Source: RefSeq, a predicted model, not a curated record
GCUCUCAGCUCCUAGGUCCCGCCCCUCAUCCUCUCCUCGGAAAAGGCACGCCUCGCAGCCGGGCGGCGCUCAAUUCGGAUACUCAUUUUCUAAGCCACGCCCCUCUGCUCUCCUCCGAGAAGCCCCGCUCCCAGGCCUAGCCCGGACUCUGGGCCACGCCCCCCUCUCCUCGCCAAGAAGCUCCGCCCACUCCCAGGCUUAUCUCCGAGGUUUGGCUACCGGCCUGCUUGGCUUUGACAGACGUUUGUGCUUUGCGUGACCCUGCCUUUCCCCUUGGCAGCCGAACUCCGUCGCUUGGGUCAAUGCGGGGUCGUGGCUGUGCGCCACCUCGUGUGGCGUCCUGCUGCUGGCCUCAGCUCACCGGUGAUCUCAGGUCUUUUGUCAGCUGAAAAUGGCCGUGGCUGAUAGAGGCCCCGCUGGUCCCCGGGGCCCCUCACUGAGAUUUGAAAACUAACCUGUUUAUAGGAGAGAAGUGGCUAGGGGAGAGGCGAAGGCAACAGGCUUUGGAAAUCUGGCUACCAGAAGCCUUGCUUGAUGCCUCUCAUCCCAGCAUUCAGAAGAUUGCAACAGGAGACUAAGCCUCAACUACAGUGAGUUUGAGGCCAGUCUAAGUGAGCUACUUACUUGUAACCCUCAAAGAAAAAAAAAAAAAAUCAAAAGAACAGAAAAGUCGGCUGUAUUGGGAGUUAAGAGUCCCACCUCUGGCCACUGAAGGUUUGGGGUAACAGGAGCAUAAGGUCUGGGUGGCAGAACCUUUGUUCUAAACAGCUUUAUCUUUAUGACUGUUACUAUUAUUAGAAAAUGUUCUUAAGUCAACAAGUUAGCUCUCUGGGUAAAGGGGCUUGCGGUUCAGCCUGACUCGUUCUAUGGCCAGGACAAACAAUGAAGAAGAGACCAGAUUCCCUUUGCUUGUCCUCUGGCACAAGCAUGCCACUUACACACGAAUAAAUAAGGAAAUGCAAUAAAAAUAAGUUGUUAAGGUUCUGCUAUGGCCCAUCCCUGGGGAGGCAGAGGCAGGUAGAUCUCUAUGUGUUCAGGGCCAGCCUGAUCUACAUAGAGCACUCUAGGCCUACCAAGGCUACAUACAUAGUGAGACUCUAUCACCAAAAAAGAGUAGAAGUAGAAGGAGGAGGAGGAGGAGGAGGAAGCAGAGGAGGAGGUGGAAGAGGAGGAGGAGGAGGAGGAGAAGAAGAAAAGAAGAAGAAGAAGAAGAAGAAGAAGAAGAAGAAGAAGAAGAAGAAGAAGAAGAAGAAGAAGAAGGAGAAGGAGAAGGAGAAGAAGAAGAAGAAAAUUCUGCUAAAACUUCCUCUUGGACCAUGCUGGCCAGUGAACCCAGGGCCUCUGAAUGCAAGAUAAGUCUUCUGUUGCCAAGUCACGUCCACAGCCUCUCACUGGGAACUCUAGGCAAGCAAUCUACCUCUGAGCCACGCCCUGGCUGAUUCUCACCUGCAUCCAGCACGCCUACGUUCACAUUUCACCUGAGUAACUCCAGAAGCUUCCAGACUGUAUUCUGCCUCCCGUUUCUCCUGUGCUCCCCAGCCAAUGACAUUUCUUCUCUUCAUUUACUGUCCUGAUCACUGCCUCGCCUUCCAAAAAUAUGCUAUUGAUAGGCUGUGCAGGAAAAACCUGUAGAGUGGAUACACACCUUAUACACACUCAGAUACUAUAUGGACAAAAUGACAUUUUUAAAGAUGACAUAAAGUCCAAGCAUGGUGGUGGAUAGUUAUAAUCCCAGCACUCCUGAGACAGAGGCAGGAGGAUUCUACCAGUUCAAGUCUAGCCUGGUUUAUAUACUGAAUUUCAAGCUAGCCAAUAUUAUGUAGAAAUACCCUGUCUCAGACAAA